Long non-coding RNA from Numida meleagris (helmeted guineafowl), 586 nucleotides. The record is from Ensembl. NCBI's taxonomy places the organism in Eukaryota, Metazoa, Chordata, Aves, Galliformes, Numididae.
UAGACAUGGUGCAGUUACUGCAUGAGCUAACUUCCAUCUUCUGCAAAGUCUAAAUCAGUGUCAGGGAUGGGAAUAAAAGCAACAGAGGCUCACACUCGUACGAAACCAGCCCAGCCCAGCGAAGGUGUAGACAUAGCGAGAGGAGCAAGGACAGUCAGAAAACCUGCUGGCCAAGUGGCAGCCCAGCUGUACCUCCUAGCUUACGUCCUUUUUGAGUAAUGAAAGAAGCUGCAGUUUCUUAUAGGAAGGACAGAGGAACAUCCUCUUCAGAGUGACACAAAAGGGUUAAAGGUAAGACUUAACAGCCACCUGACUUAAGUUUUAUCGUCCCACCAGUGGAAGCAGAUUAGUGUCGUUAAAGAAGAUCAUUUGUGUGUGUCCUCUAGAAGGGUGUAGCCUCCUUUGAUAAUAAGGAUAAGCUGAUGCCAAGAUAAGCGGAGGGGCUCUGCUGGUUACUUCUUAUUUAUUGCAUCUUUUUAUUGCUUUCUUGAAGGGAAGGUGCUGUUUCAAAGCAGCUAAUAAUUAGUUAAUUAUGAACUUGGUAGAAGAGGCAUAAGAAGCUGUGAAGCAUUAAAUAAUAAAAAAA